GACGAACGCUGGCGGCGUGCCUAAUACAUGCAAGUUGAGCGCUGAAGGUUGGUACUUGUCCCAACUGGAUGAGCAGCGAACGGGUGAGUAACGCGUGGGGAAUCUGCCUUUGAGCGGGGGACAACAUUUGGAAACGAAUGCUAAUACCGCAUAAAAACUUUAAACACAAGUUUUAAGUUUGAAAGAUGCAAUUGCAUCACUCAAAGAUGAUCCCGCGUUGUAUUAGCUAGUUGGUGAGGUAAAGGCUCACCAAGGCGAUGAUACAUAGCCGACCUGAGAGGGUGAUCGGCCACAUUGGGACUGAGACACGGCCCAAACGCCUACGGGAGGCAGCAGUAGGGAAUCUUUGGCAAUGGACGAAAGUCUGACCGAGCAACGCCGCGUGAGUGAAGAAGGUUUUCGGAUCGUAAAACUCUGUUGGUAGAGAAGAACGUUGGUGAGAGUGGAAAGCUCAUCAAGUGACGGUAACUACCCAGAAAGGGACGGCUAACUACGUG
This 497-nucleotide ribosomal RNA is filed under the name uncultured bacterium. RNAcentral describes it as "partial 16S ribosomal RNA". It matches the Rfam family "Bacterial small subunit ribosomal RNA", at positions 28 to 507 of the family's 1533-position model. The record is from RNAcentral.